CUGGGUUAGGUCUAUCUGGGUUAGGUCUAUCUGGGUUAUGUCUAUCUGGGUUAGGUCUAUCUGGGUUAUGUCUAUCUGGGUUAGGUCUAUCUGGGUUAGGUCUAUCUGGGUUAAGUCUAUUAUAUUGUCUGUUAUUUUUAUCAGGUUCCUGACUCAUGCUUAGUAGGCAGAUUAAAGCUGCUGAAUGCAUAUGGACAGUACGGAUAUUCAAAGGGAAGAACAAGACAAGUGACAUUUGUUUCAUUUGGACAGUUAUUUGACAAAGGUAAGGGUCAUAGAAACGGCAGAAUAUGUUCUAUCUCAUACCACAUAGACAAUGUUUUACCUGCAUGUGAUUCCCGAAGGAGGAUUUGAUAAAGUGAUGCUCUUCCCCCCUCCCCUUUGCUUCUGUCAAUUACAAGAUGAGCCCAUCUCUUCAUGUACAAUGUUCACAAUUUAUAGGCAUAAUAUCGUGACUCUUCAGGUUAUCGUCAAAUGUAAUCUUGUCUAUAGGCUAAACCUUGUGUAAAAUGAGUUCCGGUACGGUUUGGAUGGGUCAGCUGACUGGCAUCACGUAGCAUGUUAUAUAUAGUUUAGAUGGGCCAGCUGACUGGCAUCACGUAGCAUGUUAUAUAUAGUUUAGAUGGGUCAGCUGACUGGCAUCACGUAGCAUGUUAUAUAUAGUUUAGAUGGGCCAGCUGACUGGCAUCACGUAGCAUGUUAUAUAUAGUUUAGAUGGGCCAGCUGACUGGCAUCACGUAGCAUGUUAUAUAUAGUUUAGAUGGGUCAG
This is a long non-coding RNA of Oncorhynchus tshawytscha (Chinook salmon), 769 nucleotides long. NCBI's taxonomy places the organism in Eukaryota, Metazoa, Chordata, Actinopteri, Salmoniformes, Salmonidae. The record is from Ensembl.